GCGGGUGUAGUUCAAUGGCAGAAUACUAGCUUCCCAAGCUAGCUACGGCGGUUCGAUUCCGCUCACCCGCUCCA
This 74-nucleotide transfer RNA is filed under the name Candidatus Omnitrophota bacterium. RNAcentral's name for it is "tRNA-Gly". It matches the Rfam family "tRNA". From Rfam's summary of the family: Transfer RNA (tRNA) molecules are approximately 80 nucleotides in length. Their secondary structure includes four short double-helical elements and three loops (D, anti-codon, and T loops). The record is from RNAcentral. Lineage: Bacteria; Pseudomonadati; Candidatus Omnitrophota.